UGUGAGUCAUUGUAGCAAUACAAGGCAUACGGCUCAGUAACACGUAGUCAAUCUGCCCUAUGGACGUGGAUAACCUCGGGAAACUGAGAAUAAUCCGCGAUAGAUCAUAAUGCCUGGAACGGUUUAUGGUCCAAAUGAUUCGUCGCCAUAGGAUGGGACUGCGGCCUAUCAGCUUGUUGGUGAGGUAAUGGCCCACCAAGGCUAUUACAGGUACGGGCUCUGAGAGGAGAAGCCCGGAGAUGGGUACUGAGACACGGACCCAGGCCCUAUGGGGCGCAGCAGGCGAGAAACCUUUGCAAUGUGCGCAAGCACGACAAGGUUAAUCCGAGUGUUUCCUGCUAAAGGAAUCUUUUGUUAGUUCUAAAACCACUGAUGAAUAAGGGGUGGGCAAGUUCUGGUGUCAGCCGCCGCGGUAAAACCAGCACCUCAAGUGGUCAGGAGGAUUAUUGGGCCUAAAGCAUCCGUAGCCGGUUCUGUAAGUUUCCGGUUAAAUCCACUAGCUCAACUAAUGGGCUGCCGGAAAUACUGCAGAACUAGGGAGUGGGAGAGGUAGACGGUACUCGGGAGGAGGGGGUAAAAUCCUUUGAUCUCUUGAUGACCACCUGUGGCGAAGGCGGUCUACCAGAACACGUUCGACGGUGAGGGAUGAAAGCUGGGGGAGCAAACCGGAUUAGAUACCCGGGUAGUCCCAGCUGUAAACGAUGCAGACUCGGUGAUGCACUGGCUUUUGGCCAGUGCAGUGCCGCAGGGAAGCCGUUAAGUUUGCCGCCUGGGAAGUACGUACGCAAGUAUGAAACUUAA
Molecule: ribosomal RNA, 801 nt
Filed under: uncultured Nitrososphaerota archaeon
Lineage: Archaea; Thermoproteati; Nitrososphaerota
Description: bacterial SSU rRNA
Rfam family: Archaeal small subunit ribosomal RNA
Source: RNAcentral